UACGUAGGGUGCAAGCGUUGUCCGGAAUCAUUGGGCGUAAAGCGCGCGUAGGCGGCCCGAUAAGUCCGCUGUGAAAGUCAACGGCUCAACUGUUGAAAGCCGGUGGAUACUGUCGGGCUAGAGUACGGAAGAGGCAAGUGGAAUUCCUGGUGUAGCGGUGGAAUGCGCAGAUAUCAGGAGGAACACCGAUAGCGAAGGCAGCUUGCUGGGACGUUACUGACGCUAAGGCGCGAAAGCGUGGGGAGCGAACAGG
RNAcentral lists this ribosomal RNA (253 nucleotides) under uncultured bacterium. RNAcentral describes it as "partial 16S ribosomal RNA". It matches the Rfam family "Bacterial small subunit ribosomal RNA", at positions 524 to 776 of the family's 1533-position model. The record is from RNAcentral.